Long non-coding RNA from Lutra lutra (Eurasian river otter), 5509 nucleotides. RefSeq lists it as uncharacterized. The record is from RefSeq and is a predicted model, not a curated record. NCBI's taxonomy places the organism in Eukaryota, Metazoa, Chordata, Mammalia, Carnivora, Mustelidae. The transcript is spliced from 3 exons.
CCUCCGCCGGCUGUGGGCGCGCGAGCGGGCCGGGCGGCGGGUGCGGGCCUCGCGGCCACGGGCUCCCCGCCGCCCGGCUCCCGCGGCCGUCUGACGGCGGUCCGCACCGGCGCGCGGCUGUUGGACCCUGGCUUUGCUGCCUCGAAGCCGAGGAGUGUCUGCUCGUUCAGAAAGCGACUCGGCGCCUGCUCUUCCGCCGUUGGGGCCGCGGUGCCGGCGCUGGGGCGGUGACAGCCCUCCGGGAAGGGCCUCUCCUCCGAGGCCGCCGCUGCCUUGGCCUCCCCCAGACAUCUCAGGCAGAAGUGGCCCCUCGCGCGCUCGGUGCGCCGCAGAAGCCGGCGUGGCGUGACCCCCGGACGCGGGCGUGGCGGCUCCGCGACCCCCACGAGGUAUUCCCGGGUCCCCUGGCCGCGACUGGCCUCGCUGCGCUGGGAGAAGCGGGAAGCCGCCCAGCUCUGUGCACUCUCUAAUUGGGAAAACUUCAAGAAAGGGCCGCAGAGAAGCCACUUCAAUGGCAAAGCAGAGGCAGUCCACAGUGACAGAUUCUUGGAGCAGGACCCAGGAAGCCACCGUGCUCCGCGGCGACAGACAAGAGUCAAACAUUCCCCAGAGGAUGGCCGAGAAGCCCGGAGGAGGGCGGGACUGCGCCCAGUUGCCCUUGGGUUCAAGCCAAGAAGAGAGCCUAGCUGCCCUGGAGGGACCACAGUGAGGCCAGCUGGAGGCAACGCCAAGAGACCCCAUGAACUUCCCUGGAGGAAAACGUCCCGAAGCGAGGGACCAGGGACUCGGGAUGGUUGGAAGCUCUCCAGGCAGGGCCUGUCACCCGGCAAAGCAGAGCAGGUGCCUAGGCGGAGUGGGGGCUUGGUUCCCUGGACUGUGGCUGGCGGGCGGGAGGAGAGCGGCCCGGGCGCAACCGGCAGGAGUUUCCCACCAUGGCAGGGUAGAAAAAUGGACCGCAGCCCCCUGGCCUGGAGUGCCGCGAUGUCGCAGUCCCCGAGUGUAGGAGGAAGUGAAUUACAUGCGUGUGCGCACACGUAAAUAUUUUAUAAACCUCCCCUUAAUUAACCAAAUCAUUUCCAUUAUGCCUCCAAUGUGAUCAACAGCGACGGCGUGAGGGUUUCCAGGGUUUAUAAUUUGAUGUCACCAGACGGUUGCUCGGGGGCAGAGGUACCGUCGCUGCGCCAGCUGCACGCGUAUUUAUUUGUUUUUCUACCGCGUUCCUGUAGGGCCCCAUUAUGCAGCUUUUAAUUAGCUUGUGUGUGUAGUUCACCGUCCCGAAUCAGUGCCAUCCCGGAGCAAGGCGAUGUACAUCCUCGCAGUACAGGUGUAGCUGCCCGCCCCGGAACGCUAGGAAACGCGUGUCUGACACAGGAAUGCGGGGCCGCCACGCAGCCCACCGGCGGCUCUCCGCAGCCAAGAGGCGCAGAUCAAAGCCGGCGGGGACUUCAGCGGCUCCCCCGUGAGCACCGCGGUGGCUGCGGGUCCUCAGGCCCUCAGAGGGAGACGGGCGAGCUCGGCUUGGGGGACCAAGUGAGUUUCCGGCCUUACCCAAGUCCUGAGGUCCUUGCGGCGGCGGCGGCGCGGACCUCUGGCGCGCGUCCCGCUCCGGGCCUGGUGCGCGGGCCGGUCGCGCGGAGAACCGAGCUGCGGAGCAGAGCGCUGUGGCUUCCUGCCGGUCCGAAGAGUCCUGUCACCGGACCCAGGGCGCACAGCCCGGAUCUCCGGAAUCUCGGGGCAGGAGAGCCGCCCCCACCCCGGCCCUUGCGCUGGCUGUCUCUUCCUUCUUGAAAUGACCUCUGUGGAGCGCCUGUAAAUCUAUCCCUCCAGCCACGGGGGAAUUCUUUUAAAGCUUUCUUUUUGGUCAGGAAUAAGAGAUUGUUCAUCUUUAACUAGACCACAUAGAAAUUAUGAUUCAACAACAGUGUGCAUUUAAUUAGAGUAAUCUCACUCGAAUUUAAUUACUUAAUGAAUUAUUUGUUUAAAAGGUACAACGUCUUGUUUGCCAAGUGCGGUGCAGACCUCUGAUAAGAACUUCUGUUCUAAGGACAUUAUAGCUUAAAAGCAGUCAUGUGCUAAGGUUUGCAUUUUAACUCCUUGAGUGUGGAACCGUUAACUGUUGAGGUACUAGUCCAAGGAAAUCUCUGACAUUUACGGGUGCAGAGAAGCUGCACAGCGGUUCCGUUCUGUUGUGUGCACAGGUCCCUUUGGAAAUUAGCAUCCUCUAACUUUUGUCGUGUAAGUCUAUUUUUAAACUUACUUCAUUCCGCUUUUGGUAGGCAGUCUCCUUUUUUCUGGUGCAAGAUGACAGCUGUCUACCAGAGGACUCAUUUUAUUAGUAUUUGCAGCGAAGCGGCACAGCCUUCAGGAAAACUCCUGCCUUGCUCCUCUGGGUCCCUGAGGCAUCCACAGUAGUGGCAGGAAGAUUUUCUGGGCUUAUCGAUCUUCCUCUUCCGGGAUUGGAAGCUACGAAGGCCCAUUCUUUGACCUUAACCCUUCAUUCCUAAACUGUGGAAGAAUUCCACUUCCUCUUGUUUUCCAAAAGCAAGCCAUGCCAUCCUUUCCAGGAGGCUCUGAAGUUGACUUGUCUCCGGGUGAUGUUAAGGAUUGACGGAGGCAGCUAAUGCAAGGUUCAUAACCAGGGGCCACGGAGGAGGAGGGUGACCUGCUGGGAUUCUGACACGAUUUCUGUGUCUUCUGUGGUUAGGUUGCUGUAGAAGCAGACAGUUUCUUUUCCUCCACUAACCUGCAUGACGGACAGAGCCUUCUAUCCUGGCAUGAUGGAAUUUUAGCAGAAAAUGCCUGUAUUGGGUGAGGGUGGGGGCGGGAAGCCUUUCUCCCUGUCAGUGAGAGAAAAUAGAAACUAGGAACACCUUAAACCCGGAGGACUCAAUUCCACUGUCAUUUUCAUUAAUAUUUCAUUAAUCAAAUAAGUUACCUUAAUGCACAUUUGGGCAUUAAUGCACUAUGGCCACAUAAAUAUUAAAUAUUGUGAGUAUAGUAUCCACCUAAAGAAGGAAUGAGCUUCUAAGAGAAGUACGACGUGUUGAUAAGAGUAAUUAGCUCUUUGUUUCUUUUCAGAAUCCCGGGUGUUUAUGGCAUCUUGUCUUGUCGUGCAAUCGGAGUUCUUAUGGUGGUUGAGUUACCGAGUAAACUUAAUCCUAUUCAGUUAUGGCUACAGGAGCCCCUUUCUUCCAAAGAAUCAGAUCAAUGCAUAUUUUACACUAUUUAUGAAUUUACUUCACAUAUUCUACCGAGUAACAACGGACAGUAACAACCAGAAAGGACAUGAGAUAAUAACUCAGGAAUGAGAAUACAUUUCUCAGAUCUGAGCAAAUCCAAAGACGAUUUGCUAGUAAAACCCUCAAAGGGAAUGAUAUGUGUGGGAUGGAAAAAGGUGAAACACUAAACGGCAUAUUUGUGUUUGACUCCUGGAGAACUGUUUGAAAUUUCGACCAGAUAGGAUUCUACCUCCCAUGACUUCCUAGCAGCCCUCAAUCACUUAUAUUAUAAAAGAUUCAAUCUACCUACUGGAAAUACCUUUUAGAAAUAGCAGUUGGGAAACACCCACCCACACAGCGUCCUGGGCAGAAAGUGUGGUGCAUUCCGGCUUUCACAGACUGUGUGCCCCACGAGUCACUGGCGUGUAGGUUAAAAUCGCCCCACUGAAGGGACACCUGUGCAACAAACACGCCCAACACAGGACGUGUUGGGAGCUCAGGGGAAGGUUUCUCUAGGUUUGGAAGAUAUUUUGGUCUAGCAGCAUUUUCCAGGACCAUUCUUGUGGAAAAACAAAAUCCAGGACGCAUGGAGUUGUACCAGUCUCCUCGGAUCUGUUUUCUCCCCUGCCGAGAUGUCCUCUGCUCCCCUAUGGAGAUGGAAGCCCAUCUCCAUAGCACAUCACUUGUUCGAUUUCGGGGCUGAAAUGCUCCUGCUCAAGCUGGAGAGGGUUGAGCAGCUCCAGUCUCUUGCCCUCGUCUCCUAGAGAAGUCCAUGUGAAUGCAGCCUGCCGUUUCCUUAGAAGGCGGAGAACUCACUACGUGAAAUAUUGGAUUUGGCCUUGGUCUGGGUUUGUCAUUAGUACUCAUCAGUGCUUCUACGUUUCAACCCUCCGUCUGAGCCCAGAACUGUCUCUUCACUCCCAAACCCAUCUUUCAUUCCUGGUUUUAAAAUCCAGCUGGAAAACCCACAUAUAAACCUAGAAUUCUAAAACUCUGAAGCUCUUGGAAAAUGUCUUAAAAUGUGUGGACCUUGCCUAGAAAUCUUUUGAUUCAUUAGGUAUGGGGCUGGAUCCAACUUACGAAUUUGAAGUUUUUUAAGUACGGAGGUAACUGGGACUUAGUUGGUUGAAAAAACACAUUUCAUAAAAAGGAGUCCUCGAUCUACACCCGGUUUGACUUUUUAAACCCAACAAACUUCACUGUGCUCUCUGCAGACCCCAAAUCUGACUCACUCUGACACCCCCCUUCACUGAUACCACCCCUGCGUAAGGGCCUCCUCCUUCUCAGUUCACUCCGUCUCUGUCUUCUUUGCCCACCUGCUAACCUCCCUGCUCUCAUGGGCUCACCCCAGUAGGCAUCCUCCGUGGAAUGCCUGGCUUUUUCCUGUGGGCCCCCCACAUCUGUAUCAAAUCCAAACUCAGCCGUGAGCUACAGACCCAAAUAUCCAUCUACAUGUGACCCUUCUCCACCGGAAGCUACAGAUACGCCAAGUGGCUCUUAGUGCCCCUGGGACUCCGUGAAGCGGCCGGACUCCGGCCACCCGGGCUCUGCCUCUGUCAGCUGUCCGCCUUCACUUCUGUCCUGUUCAACAUCCAUAGGUCCAGUGAUGGUGUGUGGAACACGCGUGAUGCUCCUGGCUCCAGGGCAGCUCUGUGAUGCUACAGUAGAUGAGGAACAGAAAAGGUGGUUGGGUUCCUGUCCUCAGGGAGGUGCCAGUGACAUGUGACUUUGCAGAGGUCCCGCUGCACCUCUCCUUCUGCCCCGGCUCCGCUAGUGAGGACUCCGUACACCGCCCCACCGCGUGUGGGCACACUCAGGGCCUUUUUGGCUCUCAGAUUCCAUCUUCUCCAGGAUCUAGGUUGGACAAGAAAUUGCAUGGUGACCCUACCCACCGGCACUGUUCCACGUCCGCAUCGUCAGCUGACUGGAUUGUGGGCACGGCUUCCUAAAUGACCUCCUGCCUUCAGUCUGGUGCAUUUUGAUGUCUCCCGUUCUGCUGCCAGUGACCUUCUGCCAUCACAGCUUGGCCCAGUGAUUAUCAUCGGCUGCUGGUGACCCCGGAGGUCCCGCUGCCCACAUUGUGUGCAAGGUGGCAGGUCGUGUGGCUCCCGUUCCCUUUUCCGAUCCAGCCUCAGCCUCCAUCAGGAAGCCAUGAUUCUCCAGAUGCCCUGUCCUUCCGGAAGCUUCCGACCCACAUGCCACUGAGGGCCCUGCCUUCCUCUUUCUCCUUGCUUUCUUACUGUGAUGCAUCUUAACAGAUUUUUAAUUUUAUUGGUAGCAGUAACAUGUAU